Molecule: ribosomal RNA, 468 nt
Filed under: uncultured bacterium
Lineage: Bacteria
Description: partial 16S ribosomal RNA
Rfam family: Bacterial small subunit ribosomal RNA
Source: RNAcentral
GACGAACGCUGGCGGCGUGCUUAACACAUGCAAGUCGAACGGAAAGGCCCUGCUUUUGUGGGGUGCUCGAGUGGCGAACGGUUGAGUAACACGUGAGUAACCUGCCCUUGACUUUGGGAUAACUUCAGGAAACUGGGGCUAAUACCGGAUAGUAGCUCCUGCUUCAUGGUGGGGGUUGGAAAGUUUCGGCGGUUGGGGAUGGACUCGCGGCUUAUCAGCUUGUUGGUGGGGUAGUGGCUUACCAAGGCUUUGACGGGUAGCCGGCCUGAGAGGGUGACCGGACACAUUGGGACUGAGAUACGGCCAAGACUCCUACGGGAGGCAGCAGUGGGGAAUAUUGCACAAUGGGAGGAAGCCUGAUGCAGCAACGCAGCGUGCGGGAUGACGGCCUUCGGGUUGUAAACCGCUUUCGCCUGUGACGAAGCGUGAGUGACGGUAAUGGGUAAAGAAGCACCGGCUAACUACGUG